CCUACGGGAGGCAGCAGUGAGGAAUAUUGGACAAUGGGCGCAAGCCUGAUCCAGCCAUGCCGCGUGCAGGAAGAAGCAUCUAUGGUGUGUAAACUGCUUUUGUACAGGAAGAAACACUCCCUCGUGAGGGAGCUUGACGGUACUGUAAGAAUAAGGACCGGCUAACUCCGUGCCAGCAGCCGCGGUAAUACGGAGGGUCCGAGCGUUAUCCGGAAUCAUUGGGUUUAAAGGGUCCGUAGGCGGUUUAAUAAGUCAGUGGUGAAAUCUGGUCGCUCAACGAUCAAACGGCCAUUGAUACUGUUAGACUUGAAUUAUAAGGAAGUAACUAGAAUAUGUAGUGUAGCGGUGAAAUGCUUAGAUAUUACAUGGAAUACCAAUUGCGAAGGCAGGUUACUACUUAUGGAUUGACGCUGAUGGACGAAAGCGUGGGGAGCGAACAGGAUUAGAUACCCUGGUAGUCCACGCCGUAAACGAUGGAUACUAGCUGUUCGGAGCAAUCUGAGUGNGUAGAGAAGUAGAUAAGUAUACCACCGUCGGGUAGGUACGUUCGUCGAAGAAGAGAACGAACGAAAGGAAAGUUAGUACGGACGUGAGACGUGACGACGGACGACGACGAGGGAGGAGG
RNAcentral lists this ribosomal RNA (625 nucleotides) under uncultured bacterium. RNAcentral's name for it is "bacterial SSU rRNA". The stretch from base 1 to 532 matches the Rfam family "Bacterial small subunit ribosomal RNA", at positions 338 to 873 of the family's 1533-position model. The record is from RNAcentral.